UAUAAAUUAUAUAUAAACAUGUAUAUAUUCUGAUACAUUUAUGUACAAUUUUAAAAUAAUUCAAAUUAUAGUCCAAAAAUAAAGUCAGAAUAAGCUUUUUUUUCUUCUUUUUUUGAGACAGAGUCUCGCUCUGUCACCCAGGCUGGAGGGCAGUUGAGUGAUCUUGGCUCACUGCUACCUCCACCUCCCAGGUUCAAGCAAUUCUUCUGCCUCAGCCUCCCAAGUACCUGGGAUAACAAGUGCCCACCACCACAUCUGGCUAAUUGUUCUAUUUUUAGUAGAAAUGGGGUUUCGCCAUGUUGGCCAGGCUGGUCUUGAACACCUAACCUCAAGUGGUCCACCCACCUUGGCCUCCCAAAGUGCUGAGAUUACACACUUGAGCCACUGCACCUGGCUAGAAUAAGCUCUUAAAGAAAAUUAAAGAUUAUAUAAGAAUGACACAUAUACACUUUAGUUUGAUUAGCUCUUAAUACUAUUUCAAGACUAUCUACUGUGAUGCUGGUGUACAAUUUUCUUGAAUUUAGAUACAAAGGGGAGACAUAAAAAGGGGCACAGCCCUAAAGGCAUUAGCAAAAGAUACAAGGGCUCUGCUUCCUGGAAUUGUGUUGUAUAAAGUCAGAACCUCCUGGAAGCAGGUGCCAAGACAGGAUUAAUGAUGAAAUGGUGUUUAACCUCAUGUUUUGUGAUUUGGGUUCUUUUUUGGUGCCAUGUAAAUUUUAAAAUAGUUUUUUCCUAAUUCUGCGAAGCAAUAAAGUGGAUACUGCUAUUGUCUCACUUAUACAGAUAAGAAACCUGAAGUUCAGAGACAUCAAACAAGUCACCUGAAAUCAC
Molecule: long non-coding RNA, 831 nt
Filed under: Homo sapiens (human)
Lineage: Eukaryota; Metazoa; Chordata; Mammalia; Primates; Hominidae
Description: non-protein coding lnc-RPP30-9:1
Source: RNAcentral